Long non-coding RNA from Humulus lupulus (European hop), 496 nucleotides. RefSeq lists it as uncharacterized. Lineage: Eukaryota; Viridiplantae; Streptophyta; Magnoliopsida; Rosales; Cannabaceae. The record is from RefSeq and is a predicted model, not a curated record. The transcript is spliced from 2 exons.
UGCUAACUUUGCUGAUUGUGUAUAAUUACAAUCAAAGGUACCCUGUUGCUAUAUAUGGUGUUUUUGGUAACAGUUGCCAACCAUAUGCAGACAGUAUUUUCUGAUGAAAUUGAGAGAAUAACCAUAGAGGCACAAAAUCAGAUUUCUGAGACUGAAAGGAAUUAUACAGAAGCCUUGGAGGAAUGGACGCUAUCAAUGGCAUAACAAAGAAUGAUGUUGGUGCCUAUCAGAGUGCCUGUGGUGAUCAUGAAGUUCGUUGCUCUGCUUCUUAUGAUUAGAGUUGGGCAUUUGUACUAUGAGUUAUAUAUGUAAAUUUGCAUAGAUUUGAGUGUAUAUUUGUGUUAUAUAUAUAUAUAUAUUGAAUAUUGUAAAAUUGUACAGAUUUAAGUUUGAUUUUCAUAGAUCUGAAGAUUGUAAAUUUAUUGAUAUAUAUUGGUGAUGUUAAGUGUAUUUUUUUUGGUGACUUUAGUAAUUUUGAUAUUGGUUCUAUUUUAUU